RNAcentral lists this ribosomal RNA (449 nucleotides) under uncultured organism. Its description in RNAcentral is "partial 16S ribosomal RNA". It matches the Rfam family "Bacterial small subunit ribosomal RNA", at positions 334 to 799 of the family's 1533-position model. The record is from RNAcentral.
CACUCCUACGGGAGGCAGCAGUGGGGAAUAUUGGACAAUGGGCGCAAGCCUGAUCCAGCCAUGCCGCGUGAGUGAUGAAGGCCCUAGGGUUGUAAAGCUCUUUCACCGGUGAAGAUAAUGACGGUAACCGGAGAAGAAGCCCCGGCUAACUUCGUGCCAGCAGCCGCGGUAAUACGAAGGGGGCUAGCGUUGUUCGGAUUUACUGGGCGUAAAGCGCACGUAGGCGGACUAUUAAGUCAGGGGUGAAAUCCCGGGGCUCAACCCCGGAACUGCCUUUGAUACUGGUAGUCUUGAGUUCGAGAGAGGUGAGUGGAAUUCCGAGUGUAGAGGUGAAAUUCGUAGAUAUUCGGAGGAACACCAGUGGCGAAGGCGGCUCACUGGCUCGAUACUGACGCUGAGGUGCGAAAGCGUGGGGAGCAAACAGGAUUAGAAACCCUAGUAGUCCCAUG